GACGAACGCUGGCGGCGUGCUUAACACAUGCAAGUCGAACGGAAAGGCCCUGCUUUUGUGGGGUGCUCGAGUGGCGAACGGGUGAGUAACACGUGAGUAACCUGCCCUUGACUUUGGGAUAACUUCAGGAAACUGGGGCUAAUACCGGAUAGGAGCUCCUGCUGCAUGGUGGGGGUUGGAAAGUUUCGGCGGUUGGGGAUGGACUCGCGGCUUAUCAGCUUGUUGGUGGGGUAGUGGCUUACCAAGGCUUUGACGGGUAGCCGGCCUGGGAGGGUGGCCGGGCACAAUGGGACUGAGGUACGGACCAGACUCCUACGGGAGGCAGCAGUGGGGAAUAUUGCAGAAUAGGCGGGAGCCUGAUGCAGCAACCCCGCGUGCGGGAUAACGGCCUUCGGGUUGUAAACCGCUUUCGCCUGUGACGAAGCGUGAGUGACGGUAAUGGGUAAAGAAGCACCGGCUAACUACGUG
This 468-nucleotide ribosomal RNA is filed under the name uncultured bacterium. Its description in RNAcentral is "partial 16S ribosomal RNA". It matches the Rfam family "Bacterial small subunit ribosomal RNA", at positions 28 to 507 of the family's 1533-position model. The record is from RNAcentral.